GAUGAAGAACGUAGCGAAAUGCGAUAAGUAAUGUGAAUUGCAGAAUUCAGUGAAUCAUCGAAUCUUUGAACGCACCUUGCGCUCUUUGGUAUUCCGAAGAGCAUGCCUGUUUGAGUGUCAUGAAAAUAUCAACCUUGACUUGGGUUUUGUGCUCUAGUCUCGGCUUGGAAUUGGGUGCUUGCCGCUUUUACGCGCGGCUCACCUUAAAUGUAUUAGCUGGAUCUGUCUUUGAGACUUGGUUUGACUUGGCGUAAUAAGUAUUUCGCUAAGGACAUUCUUCGGAGUGGCCUCGUUUCUAGGACGCUUGUCCGCUUUCCAAUACAAGUUCCACCUCGUGGACAUGACUUUUUAUUAUCUGGCCUCAAAUCAGGAAGGACUACCCGCUGAACUUAAGCAUAUCAAUAAGCGGAGGA
RNAcentral lists this unclassified non-coding RNA (413 nucleotides) under soil metagenome. RNAcentral's name for it is "partial contains 5.8S ribosomal RNA, internal transcribed spacer 2, and large subunit ribosomal RNA". The stretch from base 1 to 120 matches the Rfam family "5.8S ribosomal RNA", at positions 35 to 154 of the family's 154-position model. The record is from RNAcentral.